UACGUAGGGUGCAAGCGUGUCCGGAUUUAUUGGGCGUAAAGAGCUCGUAGGCGGUCUGUCGCGUCGAAUGUGAAAGCCCAAGGCUCAACCUUGGGUCUGCAUUCGAUACGGGCAGACUAGAGUAUGGCAGGGGAGACUGGAAUUCCUGGUGUAGCGGUGAAAUGCGCAGAUAUCAGGAGGAACACCGAUGGCGAAGGCAGAUCUCUGGGCCGUAACUGACGCUGAGGAGCGAAAGCAUGGGGAGCGAACAGG
Molecule: ribosomal RNA, 252 nt
Filed under: uncultured bacterium
Lineage: Bacteria
Description: partial 16S ribosomal RNA
Rfam family: Bacterial small subunit ribosomal RNA
Source: RNAcentral